ACUCCUGCGGGAGGCAGCAGUGGGGAAUAUUGCACAAUGGGCGCAAGCCUGAUGCAGCCAUGCCGCGUGUAUGAAGAAGGCCUUCGGGUUGUAAAGUACUUUCAGCGGGGAGGAAGGCGAUAAGGUUAAUAACCUUGUUGAUUGACGUUACCCGCAGAAGAAGCACCGGCUAACUCCGUGCCAGCAGCCGCGGUAAUACGGAGGGUGCAAGCGUUAAUCGGAAUUACUGGGCGUAAAGCGCACGCAGGCGGUCUGUCAAGUCGGAUGUGAAAUCCCCGGGCUCAACCUGGGAACUGCAUUCGAAACUGGCAGGCUAGAGUCUUGUAGAGGGGGGUAGAAUUCCAGGUGUAGCGGUGAAAUGCGUAGAGAUCUGGAGGAAUACCGGUGGCGAAGGCGGCCCCCUGGACAAAGACUGACGCUCAGGUGCGAAAGCGUGGGGAGCAAACAGGAUUAGAAACCCGAGUAGUCCCA
RNAcentral lists this ribosomal RNA (471 nucleotides) under uncultured organism. Its description in RNAcentral is "partial 16S ribosomal RNA". It matches the Rfam family "Bacterial small subunit ribosomal RNA", at positions 335 to 797 of the family's 1533-position model. The record is from RNAcentral.